GUAGGGAAUCUUCCGCAAUGGACGAAAGUCUGACGGAGCAACGCCGCGUGAACGAUGAAGGUCUUCGGAUCGUAAAGUUCUGUUGUUAGGGAAGAACAAGUACCGUGCGAAUAGAGCGGUACCUUGACGGUACCUAACGAGGAAGCCCCGGCUAACUACGUGCCAGCAGCCGCGGUAAUACGUAGGGGGCAAGCGUUGUCCGGAAUUAUUGGGCGUAAAGCGCGCGCAGGCGGUUUCUUAAGUCUGAUGUGAAAGCCCACGGCUCAACCGUGGAGGGUCAUUGGAAACUGGGGAACUUGAGGACAGAAGAGGAGAGUGGAAUUCCACGUGUAGCGGUGAAAUGCGUAGAUAUGUGGAGGAACACCAGUGGCGAAGGCGACUCUCUGGUCUGUUUCUGACGCUGAGGUGCGAAAGCGUGGGUAGCAAACAGGAUUAGAAACCCGGGUAGUCC
This 451-nucleotide ribosomal RNA is filed under the name uncultured bacterium. Its description in RNAcentral is "bacterial SSU rRNA". It matches the Rfam family "Bacterial small subunit ribosomal RNA", at positions 354 to 796 of the family's 1533-position model. The record is from RNAcentral.